This 262-nucleotide ribosomal RNA is filed under the name uncultured bacterium. RNAcentral's name for it is "partial 16S ribosomal RNA". It matches the Rfam family "Bacterial small subunit ribosomal RNA", at positions 524 to 780 of the family's 1533-position model. The record is from RNAcentral.
UACGUAGGGUCCGAGCGUUGUCCGGAAUUACUGGGCGUAAAGAGCUCGUAGGCGGUGUGUCGCGUCGGCCGUGAAAACCUGCAGCUUAACUGUGGGCGUGCGGUCGAUACGGGCAGGCUAGAGUUCGGUAGGGGAGACUGGAAUUCCUGGUGUAGCGGUGAAAUGCGUAGAUAUCUGGAGGAACACCGGUGGCGAAGGCGGCGAUCCUGGACCGACACUGACGCGUGACGGAGCGAAAGCCAGGGGAGCAAAGGCGGGAUUA